RNAcentral lists this transfer RNA (77 nucleotides) under uncultured Pelagibacterales bacterium. Its description in RNAcentral is "tRNA-Ile". The record is from RNAcentral. Lineage: Bacteria; Pseudomonadati; Pseudomonadota; Alphaproteobacteria; Candidatus Pelagibacterales.
GGCCGGUAACUCAAUGGGUAAAACACACCCUNGAUAAGGGUGGGGGUCCAAAGUUCGAGUCUUUCUCCGGCCCCCCA